RNAcentral lists this long non-coding RNA (3693 nucleotides) under Bos indicus x Bos taurus (hybrid cattle). Its description in RNAcentral is "lncRNA (ENSBIXG00000003329.1)". Lineage: Eukaryota; Metazoa; Chordata; Mammalia; Artiodactyla; Bovidae. The record is from RNAcentral.
GAUGGACUGAUUGGACCUCCUUGCAGUCCAAGGGACUCUCAAGAGUCUUCUCCAACACCACAGGACCAGAAUGAGCUACUGGAAUUUCCCCAUGUACCCCACCCACCUCUGGGCCUUAUCUCAUGCUGUUCCCUCUGCCUGUACUGGGAACUCUCCACACCUUCCUUCCCCUCUUCCAGACGGCGCCCUGCCCUUUUAGAGGUACACUCUGAACCUGGCCUGCCUACCCCUCUGAGCCCAGCUCAGUCCACUUCUCCCCUCGCUCACUCCGCCUCGGCCACACUGGCCUCCCUCUGCUCCUCACAUAAAGCCAAGUCCUUUCCUGCUCCAGGACUCUUGUCCUUGCUGUCCCCUUGGCCUGGAAGGCCCUUUCGCUGUCCUUGCUCCUCGUCAUUCAGGUCACAGCUCCAAUGUCACCACCUCUGGGGUGACACAUGCCCUCUUUGCUCCUGCAUGGCCGAGACGACUGAGUGGUCACCUGUCUUCCAGGAGUUGAAGCCUCAGGGAAGCGGAGUCUGCAUUCGUCUUGGUCGCGGUAACCCCAGCACCUGGAGGGUGCUGGAGGGAGACCUGGCACACAGAGAAACCAGGAGGAGAGGAGGGCUGCCAGGGAAGCCCAUCCCCAUCUUGGGGAGCUGAGAGUUUGCAGAUUGCUGACGUGACCAUGCACAGCACUGGGAGUAUACAGAUUGUGUCCAGGAUGGAAGGUAAGACCCCAAAGGACCUCAUGUCCACUCUUCUUUGGAUGAGGAAAACAAGAUCCAGAGAACAGAGGGAUUCACCCAAGACUACUUGAUUAAAUGUCAGGAGCAAGACUCUGGGUCUCCUGACAUUUGGGGUUCAUUUCUUAGUAACGGCACACAAGCCAUUCAAGCAAGGCAGUUACAGGCAAGUAACACCUGUCCCAGGACUUUGGUUGGAGUUGUCAGGAAUAAGGCACUUUCUUUCUCCUGAGGUUGCCCAGCUGGUCAGAUGUAACCCUAGAUAUUGUGAAACUCAUCUUUGUCAUUAACUAGACAGAGGCUACCUGAAGGUUAAGCCAAAGGGAUGGAGAGAGAUUUCAGAUGAUCUUCUUUAAGCACCUGGAUCCAGCUAUGCCUGAAUGCAGUAACAUGAAAUGGUUUCAGUGACACAAGUCAAAACCUUCCAAGUCCGAGACCAUUUGAAUUGGGUUUCUGUCACAUGUAACUGUAAGAGUCCUGACUCAUUCAAUUGUCCUCUUCUGGAGAAGAGAACCCAACCUUCUAAGAACAGCCUGUCAAACUUUGCAGGACUCGGCACAGCUGCUCCACAUCAAAGUGUUUAUGGGGCCCACGCUUGUUCUACCCAAUCUUUGAGCCUCCAAGAGUGCCUCUGUCUAGAAUGUGUUUUCCGCUUGUGUGCCUGGAAGACUCCUUUUCAUUCCCCCAAAUCCUCCCAGCAGUAACUACUUUUCUGAUUUUUUUUUCCAGUCUUCUCCAGAUGGAUCAUUUCUUCCCUUACUAUAUCAAGUAUUUGGUGUAUUUCUCUUAUGCUUUCUCUCUUGGUUUGCAAUCAUCAUUUAUUUAUAUAUUUGCUUCCCCCAGAGGUAAGGAACCAGUUUUCAAAUGCCCUGAUAUCUCCCAAGCUUAACACAGCUCCUGGUAUGUAGGAUGGAGCAGAACUGAACAGAACAUGGGACAGAAAGGCACUAAACAUAUAUAAUUGGCUGAUAUCUUUCAUAAUUAGCCAACGGGAGUCCGUGUCUCCAAAUCUCUCCUGAAGUCAUCUGCCAAAACCGACCAGGGAAGCCUUUUGGAUAGAUAAGCCUUUUGAUACACUUCUACCAAGCCCUGACUUGGUUAUGAGUUUUGGUUCCAGAUUCUCAUCCCUUGGGUUCUAAGCCUGGCUCUGUCACUUCCGGCCUGUGUGUCUGUAGGAAGGAGCCUUAACCUCUCUGGGCCCCAAGCUUCCGGGUUGGACAAAGUGCCACGGUGCUGUGUAAAGAGCUUGGAACGGCGUCCGGCACAUGGUAAGCACCCAGUAAAUCUUAGGUGUCAUUACUCAACACAGAGGAAACGAAAAUUAACAGGAACUUCAACGAGGACACUUUGUACUUUUCACUAUCACUCUGUUUCAUAUUAAACGGUGUUUGUGGGAGCGUGUACCGUGCCACCCUGUUUAAUUGGUUUAGAAGCACUUCUGAAAGCUCACCGCUGCCCCGAACCCAGGCAUGAGGUUUCAACGUGAUUAACAAAGAUGUCUGUGGUCAUUUCAUAAAAUUGUCGAGCGUCAGGUACUUAGUGAGGAACAUCAUCACAUCGUUUCUGUGGGAGAAGUAGAUCAGAUUUAGAUCAUUUCGGCUAAUAAGCGCAUUUUACAAGCCCAGGCUCUCCCAGGCCAGGUGGAAAAAACAGCUCAGAAAUGGGAAUUCACUGCAGACCUUGUUCACUCCCUGGCGUUGCUCACCAGAGUCGGCACAGAAGCUCACCUCCCACCGUUGUGAAGCUAGAUGGAAUUCUCAGCUCCCAGGAAAUAGCGUGCUCCCACAGGGCUCUUUCUGACGAUUGGAAGGCUAGCCCACAUACGCGCCGAGUUUCCCUUAUCACAGAGUAUCAAGAAGGGUGGGAGGGCCAGGGAGAGCUCAGUUACUGAAAGCCUCCUGGGAUCAGGCAUUGUGCUUGAGGCCAUUAUCUCGUUAAAUCCCACAGCAUCCCUGGAAGAAAGGUACUGUGAUUAUACCCAUUUUGCAGAUGAGAAAACAAGGUCCAGAGAGGUGAACUGACUUGUCCAAAGUCACCCAGCAUUCUAACAUGGAAUAGAAGCAGAGCUGUCUCACCGCAAGGCCGGUUUUCCUCCAUACUUCAUCCGCGUCCUGGGGUGUCGUGUCCGGGAGCCCUUCCCAGCCUGACUCUGAGCCCGUUUCUGCUUUGGCUCCCAGCCUGUGUCCUACUGACUCGUACUUUCAAGCUUGGCAGAAGAUUCCGGCACAAGUUCUCUCUUGGGUAAUAUAAUAUAAUAUAAUAUAAGAUGACCACUUAUAUAGUUUUUAAGCUAUUGGAACCAGCUUCCAGGAGGGUCCACGCCAUGGAUACACCAGUUUCUAAGUAAGGGAAACCUGUGUCCUAGAGAAGAACAACUCACAAUUCAUAUCCUACCGUGAUUUAUUCUCAGUUAAUGACGACGGCAAGUGACCUCCAUGACCACUGGCAUGCUCCUCCAAGACUGACUUUAGGUGAACUUGGGACAUAGAGUUCAGAGACGUGAGGGACCAAAGAGGGGCCUGGGUACCUUUGGAUUGGCUGCAUAUUCGGGAUUUGGCUCACCUUAUGCAGAAGAGGGACUGUGCUGACGUCAAGAUGUCAGAAGAGCCCCCAGGGACACUGAAGGUGUGGAUGAUGAAGCCACAGGCUGGCUCGGGCUCCACUGCCCCUCAGAAAGAGAGGAAUUCAGCCCCCCUGUCCUAACGCUUCUACACUGACCUGCCGAUGUCCAGAAGAGAGGGGACUCCUGGGCUGGCUUAAUAUCAAUAAUAACACCAGUGUCCUCUCUUUCUUCAACUUCCCUCUGGAUGGUGAGGACUUUGAAGACCUUGAGGGGAGGCAAGCUACAGGAUGGAGGGGGCCUGGGUCCCUAAAUGACUGCAAGGAGCAGUGCUCUCUCUCCUCCACUGACCUGCUUUGAACUUAUGGCAUGAGUAAUAAACUGACUCUUCUGGAAUUAAAAGCCUGAGAC